GUCAUUAAUACGUUUUUCAUCUUCCCAUCUCGUGGAACUCUCCAUUGACAUUUGACGAGGCAUCAUGCCAGCAACUUCAACAACUGUGGUGGAGAACAAGCGCAAGAUAACGAUUUUGACAAAAAAAAAAAAAGCAUUCAGGAGCGAACAAAUUAGAUUAGAAAGUCACCCCGAAAAUGUCUUUUAAGUGAUCAAGGCUAGACUUUCGUUCCUAAACCACUUGGCCAAUUACAUCUGAGAAUAUAUCGCAUCGCGAGCACUCUUUGCCUAAGAGAGAUAUCGAACAUUACAUAGCAUAACCUUAUUGAGAUAUAUUACUUCACUUAAUAACUAUACAAUUACAGCAGAGCUUCUUAAGACAUCCAAACUGCCCUUAAGUGAAAGGUACUGAUGCUAAUCCCAGGUCUGCAGCAACUCUUAGGACUAGCUAUAUAGAGUUAUAUUUAUUGUCCCUAAUGGAUAUACAUGAUAUGUAGUUCAUACAUAGUCAAACCUAGUUAACGGAGCUUAGGAAAGCGCGGCGGUGGUGGGGAGAUCUUCUUGCUGCGAAAAUCCACCGUUAGCAUGCCACCGAACGCUCGAGCCGCCUCGAUGGAAUUCAUGGGCUUCUGGGGAGGGGCUUGAGGAGUCAGGGUUUGCCUAACCAUCUUCUUGGCCAAGCCCUCUUCCAACAUGGUGAAGGCUUCCUCUGCAAUUUUGACGAGUUCCCGUGAAUGAGCCAUGAUAAGCGCGCUGUCACCUAGUGCUAAACUAGCGACUUGGUGAGUGAUCUAUCUAUGAGGCUGUGUUCUUUGUGCUGCUUCUGUGUGGCGAAGAACGAAACACCCCCCUGGCCCUUUUUAUAGCUCCGACU
This 853-nucleotide long non-coding RNA is filed under the name Eucalyptus grandis. RNAcentral's name for it is "long non-coding RNA (EGRA_LNC004635)". The record is from RNAcentral. Lineage: Eukaryota; Viridiplantae; Streptophyta; Magnoliopsida; Myrtales; Myrtaceae.